CCUUAUUAGGCAUUUUUCGAUAGGCACCUCUUUGCACAGAAUAGGCCGAGGUUUGUUUUGAUUGAUGAUAGAAGUUUGUAGCUGUUAACGUUGAAGAGUUACAGGAUUUUGAAUUUUAAGAAUUUGACUUCAAGAUAUCUUGGCCAAACAUCUGAAUGCAGUGGUUGUACAGUUAAACGUGUUUAUAUACUUUGUAAAAAAAAUGGUAUUUCUGGCAUGACUAUAAAAUGCUUAUAUUAUGUCAAUGACUUUAUAUUAAAGUUUUUAUUUAGCUUAAUUUUAUGAUUUUGAUAUUUGUUUCUUUCUGGAUUUUUGCCCAUCUCUCCUCUACAGUAUUUAACAGCCUGGUCUGCAAAACAUCAAUAAUAUUAUAUAGUUUAAUUUACUGUUUUUAUCACAAUUCUGUUAAUUAACCUAUACAAACUUCGCAGAUGGCUUAUAUACCUGGUUUCCUUUUUAGUUCUUACCCCCGCCUUUUUUAAAUUUAACAGUCUGGUCUGUAAAUUACACAUAUUUAUCACAUGAUAUUUUUUGUAGUUUUAAUUACUGUUUUACCAUGGUUCUGUUUUUUUUUUAAUUUAAUGCAACUUCGCCAACAAUGGCUUAUUUAAAACUGGUUUCUUUUUAGUUUUACCCCCGUCUUUCUCUAUUUAACUGUCUGGUCUGUAAAAUACACACCUUAUCACGUGAUAUUUUUUGUAGUUUUAAUUACUGUUUUAUCACAGCAAUUUAAUGCAACUUCGCCAAUGACUUAUUUAUAACUGGUUUCUUUUUAGUUUUACCCCCGUCUUUCUCUAUUUAACUGUCUGGUCUGUAAAAUACACAUAUUAUCACAUGAUAUUUUUUGUAAUUUGAAUUAUAUACUGUUUUAUCACAGUUCUUUUUUUUUAUUAAUUUAAUGCAACUUCGCCAAUGGCUUAUUUAUUACUGGUUUCUUUUUAGUUUUACCCCCGUCUUUCCCUGUUAACAGCCUGACCUGUAAAAUACACAUCAUAUCACGUGAUAAUUUUAUAGGUUUUCUUCUUUUAAGUUCUAGUGACGUUUAUAGUUACUUAUUUCUAGUUACGUGAUAGGAUUUCUUUUUCAUUUUCAUGUUAGUUUUUGCCGUUAUUUUACCAAUGUUAUGUAUAUUUUACCAUAUAUGGAAAAAGUGAAAAUGGCGGCAUAAUGACGUCAGAUAUGAAAAAAAAAAUUGCAAAUGUC
Long non-coding RNA from Hydractinia symbiolongicarpus, 1203 nucleotides. RefSeq lists it as uncharacterized. The record is from RefSeq and is a predicted model, not a curated record. The transcript is spliced from 2 exons. Lineage: Eukaryota; Metazoa; Cnidaria; Hydrozoa; Anthoathecata; Hydractiniidae.